This is a non-coding RNA of Arthrobacter sp. Edens01, 369 nucleotides long. NCBI's taxonomy places the organism in Bacteria, Bacillati, Actinomycetota, Actinomycetes, Micrococcales, Micrococcaceae. The record is from Rfam.
GGGGAUGAUCGGUAUCGACGAUGUUUGCCGUAUCUGGGGAAGCGGGCCGAGGAUGCAGGGUUAUCUCGCAAACGCCCCCUGUAAACAAAUAAGUGCCAAACCUAUGCGCACUGACUUCGCUCUCGCCGCCUAGGCCAGAGUGAGUCCGUCAGACCGGAAACGCUUCCGUUCCGGAUCCUGGCGUCGUUAAGGAAGCCACUGCCGGACACCGCUGCCGUUCAGGUGUCCGGGACGACUGGAACGGCUGGGCCUGGAUCAGCCACCCGCCUGCGGGAGGGCUGGGGCCGAGAAAAUCCACAGCAGGCUGCGCCCGGAGAAGCCCAGGCACGUCGGCGUCGGACGGGGGUUCGAUUCCCCCCAUCUCCACCA